Eurytemora carolleeae is the source of this 1287-nucleotide long non-coding RNA. RefSeq lists it as uncharacterized. The record is from RefSeq and is a predicted model, not a curated record. The transcript has 3 exons. Lineage: Eukaryota; Metazoa; Arthropoda; Copepoda; Calanoida; Temoridae.
CAAGAAUUCUAUACAUAAUCUGUAAUUAAAAGUUUAUCUUAAAUAUCCUGCAUUUAAACCUAUAUAUAGUCUCAAGGUCUAUUUCUAAAAACUUAUAUUUAAUGGCCCUUAUGUUUCAGAACAUAAUGGGAUAGACUAUAUUUUAUCCAAUUAAUGUCCUGUUAGCUCCAGGUUGUGCACUCAAGGUUUAUUAAACAUCUAAAUAAUUGUUUUAUGAUUUUCAACGAACAUUAAAGCUCUACUCUAAACUGAGAAACCAAUCGAUGUUUAUAAAAGUGAAUUCAGUCAAUAAUCUCGUGCUACCACCUGUUCUACCUGAACUCUGAACUUUAAAUAUAAACAGAUAAGCCUGGUUCCUCUGAUCUGAGUUGCUGCUCAGAUCCUCGUCAUCACAAACCUGCAGUAGCUGCCAUCUCUCCGCCGCUGCUACCAUCUCUCCGCCGUUGCUGCGAUCUCUCCGCCGUAGCUGCCAUCUCUCUGCCGUAGCUGCCAUCUCUCCUUUGUAGCUGCCAUCUCUUCUCCGUAGCUGCCAUCUGUCCGUCGUAGCUGCCAUCUCUCCUUGGAUGAAGUAGAACUACACUUCUCUCCGAACCCAACAGCUUGAAGAUAAAGCUGAAUUAUAAAAGAUAUCUCCCCUAUCAACCCUGAGUGCUAGAUCAAGUCCUGUAACUUUUAAGCUGAUCUUACCUGUACCUUCUAUUCCCCAGUCUCUGUCGGGAUAACAAUAGGUACAUAUUAGUUUCUUGUGAUGAGUGUGAACUAUUCCUUCGAGUUAUGAACAAUUGAAAACACAUAUUAAAAGUUAAAGACUAUAUCUUUCAAUAUGAACUCACCGUGAUAUUUUUAGUUGUGUACGAGAUAUGUUGGCUAAGAUCUAAAGAGCUAUUAACCUCCGGCCUAAUCAACUUUGUAAGUGCAUUUUUAAAUCACAUUGUUAUGUUAUGACAUUUUCACAUUACACACCUGGAGCAAGCUUUAUUGGCAAACUUUAAAUGUUUAUUAUUUCUAUUUAUUACUAUUCUUUUAAUAUUCAUAUUAUAAAUAAUCUAAGCGUGACUGACUUUGUAUUUUUCAGUUUCACGGCUUAGAGCUCUUGUUCCUGUAUCUUUAGACUAAAUAAAUAAGAUUAAGCAAGACUCUAGUGUAUAAACGAGGUGCGCUGGUGAAAGAUGUAUGCCCAUCUUAAUGUUAAUAGUAUGAAUACCUGUGGAUCUAAGGUAUUGGUAUUCUUGGUUCUAUCCUAGACCUUGAAAAUGGCACAACGGUUUCCCAUAUACUCCUAGACCU